GAUGAACGCUGGCGGCGUGCCUAAUACAUGCAAGUCGAGCGGACGGACGAGAAGCUUGCUUCUCUGAUGUUAGCGGCGGACGGGUGAGUAACACGUGGAUAACCUACCUAUAAGACUGGGAUAACUUCGGGAAACCGGAGCUAAUACCGGAUAAUAUUUUGAACCGCAUGGUUCAAAAGUGAAAGACGGUCUUGCUGUCACUUAUAGAUGGAUCCGCGCUGCAUUAGCUAGUUGGUAAGGUAACGGCUUACCAAGGCAACGAUGCAUAGCCGACCUGAGAGGGUGAUCGGCCACACUGGAACUGAGACACGGUCCAGACUCCUACGGGAGGCAGCAGUAGGGAAUCUUCCGCAAUGGGCGAAAGCCUGACGGAGCAACGCCGCGUGAGUGAUGAAGGUCUUCGGAUCGUAAAACUCUGUUAUUAGGGAAGAACAUAUGUGUAAGUAACUGUGCACAUCCUGACGGUACCUAAUCAGAAAGCCACGGCUAACUACGUG
RNAcentral lists this ribosomal RNA (497 nucleotides) under uncultured bacterium. RNAcentral describes it as "partial 16S ribosomal RNA". It matches the Rfam family "Bacterial small subunit ribosomal RNA", at positions 28 to 507 of the family's 1533-position model. The record is from RNAcentral.